This 2933-nucleotide ribosomal RNA is filed under the name Escherichia coli. RNAcentral's name for it is "23S ribosomal RNA". It matches the Rfam family "Bacterial large subunit ribosomal RNA". The record is from RNAcentral. Lineage: Bacteria; Pseudomonadati; Pseudomonadota; Gammaproteobacteria; Enterobacterales; Enterobacteriaceae.
GGGUUGUGAGGUUAAGCGACUAAGCGUACACGGUGGAUGCCCUGGCAGUCAGAGGCGAUGAAGGACGUGCUAAUCUGCGAUAAGCGUCGGUAAGGUGAUAUGAACCGUUAUAACCGGCGAUUUCCGAAUGGGGAAACCCAGUGUGUUUCGACACACUAUCAUUAACUGAAUCCAUAGGUUAAUGAGGCGAACCGGGGGAACUGAAACAUCUAAGUACCCCGAGGAAAAGAAAUCAACCGAGAUUCCCCCAGUAGCGGCGAGCGAACGGGGAGCAGCCCAGAGCCUGAAUCAGUGUGUGUGUUAGUGGAAGCGUCUGGAAAGGCGCGCGAUACAGGGUGACAGCCCCGUACACAAAAAUGCACAUGCUGUGAGCUCGAUGAGUAGGGCGGGACACGUGGUAUCCUGUCUGAAUAUGGGGGGACCAUCCUCCAAGGCUAAAUACUCCUGACUGACCGAUAGUGAACCAGUACCGUGAGGGAAAGGCGAAAAGAACCCCGGCGAGGGGAGUGAAAAAGAACCUGAAACCGUGUACGUACAAGCAGUGGGAGCACAGAGCAAUCUGUGUGACUGCGUACCUUUUGUAUAAUGGGUCAGCGACUUAUAUUCUGUAGCAAGGUUAACCGAAUAGGGGAGCCGAAGGGAAACCGAGUCUUAACUGGGCGUUAAGUUGCAGGGUAUAGACCCGAAACCCGGUGAUCUAGCCAUGGGCAGGUUGAAGGUUGGGUAACACUAACUGGAGGACCGAACCGACUAAUGUUGAAAAAUUAGCGGAUGACUUGUGGCUGGGGGUGAAAGGCCAAUCAAACCGGGAGAUAGCUGGUUCUCCCCGAAAGCUAUUUAGGUAGCGCCUCGUGAAUUCAUCUCCGGGGGUAGAGCACUGUUUCGGCAAGGGGGUCAUCCCGACUUACCAACCCGAUGCAAACUGCGAAUACCGGAGAAUGUUAUCACGGGAGACACACGGCGGGUGCUAACGUCCGUCGUGAAGAGGGAAACAACCCAGACCGCCAGCUAAGGUCCCAAAGUCAUGGUUAAGUGGGAAACGAUGUGGGAAGGCCCAGACAGCCAGGAUGUUGGCUUAGAAGCAGCCAUCAUUUAAAGAAAGCGUAAUAGCUCACUGGUCGAGUCGGCCUGCGCGGAAGAUGUAACGGGGCUAAACCAUGCACCGAAGCUGCGGCAGCGACGCUUAUGCGUUGUUGGGUAGGGGAGCGUUCUGUAAGCCUGCGAAGGUGUGCUGUGAGGCAUGCUGGAGGUAUCAGAAGUGCGAAUGCUGACAUAAGUAACGAUAAAGCGGGUGAAAAGCCCGCUCGCCGGAAGACCAAGGGUUCCUGUCCAACGUUAAUCGGGGCAGGGUGAGUCGACCCCUAAGGCGAGGCCGAAAGGCGUAGUCGAUGGGAAACAGGUUAAUAUUCCUGUACUUGGUGUUACUGCGAAGGGGGGACGGAGAAGGCUAUGUUGGCCGGGCGACGGUUGUCCCGGUUUAAGCGUGUAGGCUGGUUUUCCAGGCAAAUCCGGAAAAUCAAGGCUGAGGCGUGAUGACGAGGCACUACGGUGCUGAAGCAACAAAUGCCCUGCUUCCAGGAAAAGCCUCUAAGCAUCAGGUAACAUCAAAUCGUACCCCAAACCGACACAGGUGGUCAGGUAGAGAAUACCAAGGCGCUUGAGAGAACUCGGGUGAAGGAACUAGGCAAAAUGGUGCCGUAACUUCGGGAGAAGGCACGCUGAUAUGUAGGUGAAGUCCCUCGCGGAUGGAGCUGAAAUCAGUCGAAGAUACCAGCUGGCUGCAACUGUUUAUUAAAAACACAGCACUGUGCAAACACGAAAGUGGACGUAUACGGUGUGACGCCUGCCCGGUGCCGGAAGGUUAAUUGAUGGGGUCAGCGCAAGCGAAGCUCUUGAUCGAAGCCCCGGUAAACGGCGGCCGUAACUAUAACGGUCCUAAGGUAGCGAAAUUCCUUGUCGGGUAAGUUCCGACCUGCACGAAUGGCGUAAUGAUGGCCAGGCUGUCUCCACCCGAGACUCAGUGAAAUUGAACUCGCUGUGAAGAUGCAGUGUACCCGCGGCAAGACGGAAAGACCCCGUGAACCUUUACUAUAGCUUGACACUGAACAUUGAGCCUUGAUGUGUAGGAUAGGUGGGAGGCUUUGAAGUGUGGACGCCAGUCUGCAUGGAGCCGACCUUGAAAUACCACCCUUUAAUGUUUGAUGUUCUAACGUUGACCCGUGAUCCGGGUUGCGGACAGUGUCUGGUGGGUAGUUUGACUGGGGCGGUCUCCUCCUAAAGAGUAACGGAGGAGCACGAAGGUUGGCUAAUCCUGGUCGGACAUCAGGAGGUUAGUGCAAUGGCAUAAGCCAGCUUGACUGCGAGCGUGACGGCGCGAGCAGGUGCGAAAGCAGGUCAUAGUGAUCCGGUGGUUCUGAAUGGAAGGGCCAUCGCUCAACGGAUAAAAGGUACUCCGGGGAUAACAGGCUGAUACCGCCCAAGAGUUCAUAUCGACGGCGGUGUUUGGCACCUCGAUGUCGGCUCAUCACAUCCUGGGGCUGAAGUAGGUCCCAAGGGUAUGGCUGUUCGCCAUUUAAAGUGGUACGCGAGCUGGGUUUAGAACGUCGUGAGACAGUUCGGUCCCUAUCUGCCGUGGGCGCUGGAGAAUUGAGGGGGGCUGCUCCUAGUACGAGAGGACCGGAGUGGACGCAUCACUGGUGUUCGGGUUGUCAUGCCAAUGGCACUGCCCGGUAGCUAAAUGCGGAAGAGAUAAGUGCUGAAAGCAUCUAAGCACGAAACUUGCCCCGAGAUGAGUUCUCCCUGACUCCUUGAGAGUCCUGAAGGAACGUUGAAGACGACGACGUUGAUAGGCCGGGUGUGUAAGCGCAGCGAUGCGUUGAGCUAACCGGUACUAAUGAACCGUGAGGCUUAACCUUACAACGCCGAAGGUGUUU